Molecule: unclassified non-coding RNA, 254 nt
Filed under: uncultured fungus
Lineage: Eukaryota; Fungi
Description: partial contains small subunit ribosomal RNA, internal transcribed spacer 1, and 5.8S ribosomal RNA
Rfam family: Eukaryotic small subunit ribosomal RNA (bases 1-73)
Source: RNAcentral
UCAAACUUGGUCAUUUAGAGGAAGUAAAAGUCGUAACAAGGUUUCCGUAGGUGAACCUGCGGAAGGAUCAUUCAUAAUAAAAGUGUUUAUGGCACUUUUAAAACAAUCCAUAUCCACCUUGUGUGCAAUGUUUUUAAUUUUUUAACACCUUAUUUUAUAUCUUUUGUCUGAAAUAUUUUAUGAAUUUUACUUAAUUCAAAAAUAUAACUUUCAACAACGGAUCUCUUGGCUCUCGCAUCAAUGAAGAACGCAGC